ACGAACGCUGGCGGCGUGCCUAAUACAUGCAAGUCGAGCGGACUAAUUAAGAGCUUGCUCUUAUGAGGUUAGCGGCGGACGGGUGAGUAACACGUGGGCAACCUGCCCUGUAGACUGGGAUAACAUCGAGAAAUCGGUGCUAAUACCGGAUAAUUGUUGGAACUGCAUAGUUCUAACUUUAAAAGAUGGCUCCGGCUAUCACUAUAGGAUGGGCCCGCGGCGCAUUAGCUAGUUGGUAAGGUAAUGGCUUACCAAGGCGACGAUGCGUAGCCGACCUGAGAGGGUGAUCGGCCACACUGGGACUGAGACACGGCCCAGACUCCUACGGGAGGCAGCAGUAGGGAAUCUUCCGCAAUGGACGAAAGUCUGACGGAGCAACGCCGCGUGAGUGAUGAAGGUUUUCGGAUCGUAAAGCUCUGUUGUUAGGGAAGAACAAGUGCCGUUCGAAUAGGGCGGCACCUUGACGGUACCUAACCAGAAAGCCACGGCUAACUACGUG
RNAcentral lists this ribosomal RNA (499 nucleotides) under uncultured bacterium. Its description in RNAcentral is "bacterial SSU rRNA". It matches the Rfam family "Bacterial small subunit ribosomal RNA", at positions 29 to 507 of the family's 1533-position model. The record is from RNAcentral.